RNAcentral lists this long non-coding RNA (445 nucleotides) under Helianthus annuus (common sunflower). RNAcentral describes it as "sRNA HanXRQr2_Chr12g0561811". Lineage: Eukaryota; Viridiplantae; Streptophyta; Magnoliopsida; Asterales; Asteraceae. The record is from RNAcentral.
GGGGCAGAGGGUGAGGUGAAACCCUAGUUUCACCAAAAUCCAUCAAAUUGAAGGGGGAUUGAAGGGCUAAACUAAUGCAUGAACCAAGAUUGUCGAUCACUUUAGUGUUUCUACCAUCAUGAUCAUGUUUAAAGGGGAAAGCAUGGAAGGCAAACGGAAAAGGGAUGAGGAAGCAUGUACGAAACGGACACUCGAGGUGCGUAUGAUCAGACGUAUGAAUAUAUGAAUGCACGAAGUAGGAUUUAUCGUCUAUGAAAAGAAUGGGACAGGAAUGAGAACGUCAGACUCUUGUAGAAUUGAAGCCGAACCUUGAAGCCGAACUCGGAACAAAGGAAUCCGAGAGGAUAGUCGAAUGAAUCAAAGUUUAUGUACUACACGGAUUUCUUCUACCACUAUCGAAGAUAAGCGGGCAUAGAUCGAGUCGAAUGACAAGGGUUGUACGGAA